This 391-nucleotide ribosomal RNA is filed under the name uncultured bacterium. RNAcentral describes it as "partial 16S ribosomal RNA". It matches the Rfam family "Bacterial small subunit ribosomal RNA", at positions 523 to 917 of the family's 1533-position model. The record is from RNAcentral.
AUCCGGAGGAUGCGAGAGUUAUCCGGAUUUAUUGGGUUUAAAGGGAGCGUAGGCGGGAGCUUAAGUCAGCGGUUAAAUGGUGCGGCUCAACCGUGCCCUGCCGUUGAAACUGGGUUUCUUGAGAGUGCAAGAGGCGGAUGGGAUUCAUGGGGGAGCGGGGAAAUGCUUAGAUAUCAUGAAGAACUCCGAUUGUGAAGGCAGUCCGCUGGGGCACGUCUGACGCUGAUGCUCGAAGGUGCGGGAAUCAAACAGGAUUAGAUACCCUGGUAGUCCGCACGGUAAACGAUGAUUACCCGCUGUCGGCGGUAGACAGUCGGCGGCCAAGCGAAAGCGAUAAGUAAUCCACCUGGGGAGUACGCCGGCAACGGUGAAACUCAAAUGAAUUGACGGG